UUGCUCCUCAUCUGUUUUGGGUAAAACAAUAUUUUUCUUCGAUUAAUACAAUAUAGCUUUCGCUAAAAUUGACCAACAAAGAAACAUUUUCUACCCAGAAUUAUGUGUGCCUUGAGUUCUUUAUUGAGAUACGUAGGAGCAGGAUUGCAAAAUCUUGCCAGGCCCAUUAAUAAAAAAACUUAGGUUUAGUCCUCUUCGUUGCAAAAAAUCC
This 211-nucleotide long non-coding RNA is filed under the name Lathyrus oleraceus (garden pea). RNAcentral's name for it is "Pisum sativum (pea) long non-coding RNA (PSAT_LNC027380)". The record is from RNAcentral. Lineage: Eukaryota; Viridiplantae; Streptophyta; Magnoliopsida; Fabales; Fabaceae.